RNAcentral lists this ribosomal RNA (436 nucleotides) under uncultured bacterium. RNAcentral's name for it is "partial 16S ribosomal RNA". It matches the Rfam family "Bacterial small subunit ribosomal RNA", at positions 29 to 506 of the family's 1533-position model. The record is from RNAcentral.
AGCGAACGCUGGCGGCAGGCUUAACACAUGCAAGUCGAGCGGGCAUCCUUGUGGUGUCAGCGGCAGACGGGUGAGUAACGCGUGGGAACGUGCCCUUCGGUUCGGAAUAACUCAGGGAAACUUGAGCUAAUACCGGAUACGUGCGAGAGCAGAAAGGUUUAUCUGCCGAAGGAUCGGCCCGCGUCUGAUUAGCUAGUUGGUGAGGUUAUGGCUCACCAAGGCGACGAUCAGUAGCUGGUCUGAGAGGAUGAUCAGCCACACUGGGACUGAGACACGGCCCAGACUCCUACGGGAGGCAGCAGUGGGGAAUAUUGGACAAUGGGGGCAACCCUGAUCCAGCCAUGCCGCGUGAGUGAUGACGGCCUUAGGGUUGUAAAGCUCUUUUCGCCGGGACGAUAAUGACGGUACCGGAGGAAUAAGCCCCGGCUAACUUCGU